GGCUCUUUGUUCUCUAAGAACUCCUCCAACUCCUCUACUUGAAAUUCUUCUCUUUGAACUUCCCAUAUUUGUGCUUCCCAUCUUCAUAUUUGAUUCAAAUUGUUGUGUGUGGUUACAAAAAUCAAGAAAAUAUGAAGGAAGAAAAAUGGAAUCUUUGAUUUUCUUGAUUUAGAGCUUUGAGUUCUUGAUGAUGUGUGUUUGAG
RNAcentral lists this unclassified non-coding RNA (203 nucleotides) under Hevea brasiliensis (rubber tree). The record is from RNAcentral. Lineage: Eukaryota; Viridiplantae; Streptophyta; Magnoliopsida; Malpighiales; Euphorbiaceae.